CAUUUUUCAGGUCUUUCCAUAGAUUUCCAAGUAGAUUUAAGUCAAAACUGUAACUCGGGACACUCAGGAACAUUCACUGGCUUCCUGGUAAGCAACUCCAGUGUAGAUGUGUUCUAGGUUAUUGUCCUGCUGAAAGGUGAAUUCAUCUCCCAGUGUAGAUGUGUUCUAGGUUAUUGUCCUGCUGAAAGGUGAAGUCAUCUCCCAGUGUAGAUGUGUUCUAGGUUAUUGUCCUACUGAAAGGUGAAUUCAUCUCCCAGUGUAGAUGUGUUUUAGGUUAUUGUCCUACUGAAAGGUGAAUUCAUCUCCCAGUGUAGAUGUGUUCUAGGUUAUUGUCCUGCUGAAAGGUGAAUUCAUCUCCCAGUGUAGAUGUGUUCUAGGUUAUUGUCCUGCUGAAAGGUGAAUUCAUCUCCCAGUGUAGAUGUGUUCUAGGUUAUUGUCCUGUUGAAAGGUGAAUUCAUCUCCCAGUGUAGAUGUGUUCUAGGUUAUUGUCCUGCUGAAAGGUGAAUUAAUCUCCCAGUGUAGAUGUGUUGUAGGUUAUUGUCCUGCUGAAAGGUGAAUUCAUCUCCCAGUGUAGAUGUGUUCUAGGUUAUUGUCCUGCUGAAAGGUGAAUUCAUCUCCCAGUGUAGAUGUGUUCUAGGUUAUUGUCCUGCUGAAAGGUGAAUUCAUCUCCCAGUGUAGAUGUGUUCUAGGUUAGUGUCCUGCUGAAAGGUGAAUUCAUCUCCCAGUGUAGAUGUGUUCUAGGUUAUUGUCCUGUUGAAAGGUGAAUUCAUCUCCCAGUGUAGAUGUG
Oncorhynchus keta (chum salmon) is the source of this 787-nucleotide long non-coding RNA. RefSeq lists it as uncharacterized. The transcript has 5 exons. The record is from RefSeq and is a predicted model, not a curated record. NCBI's taxonomy places the organism in Eukaryota, Metazoa, Chordata, Actinopteri, Salmoniformes, Salmonidae.